GCCAGUAUGAAAAAAUGGUAUACUUUGUGGAUGUAAAAUUAAGUAAAGAUGGAGUAAUUGAAGAAUGCCAUUGCGAUUGUGCUGCAGGCAGUGGUACUCAAGCAUGUUGCAAACAUGUCUCUGUAUUGUUGGAUGACAUGUGAACCCGCAAAUCCACAUGGCAUUGAAUGGGAUCGUUACACCUAUGUAGAUAGGACUCCAAUAGAUAUUUUACUAGAGAAGCUAUUAUUAAAAAUAUUAUAUCUGAACAAAUUCAGGAAGUGAGAAGAAUACAAGAGCCCAAAGUGAUUCCUCUGAGUGGCAUGAAAGAUCAUGCAGGAUUACUGCCAGUAUGUUUCAUUUAGUGUGCCACAGUAAAGCAUAUAAGUACCAAAAAUAUAUGUAAUCGAUAUGAUUUUGGCCCCUAAAGCUGUGCAGACUAUGUUAGUUGUGCAUAGUAAAAUCCAAGAAACUAUUUCCAUUGCCAAAUAUGAUAGAGAUUAUGGACUAAAAAUAAAAAAGUGGAUUCAUUAUAUCAUUUGAAUAUCCUUUUCUGGCUGUUUCUCCAGACGGUAUAUUGGGUAAAGAUACUAUUGUUGAGGUUAAGUGUCCAUAUGCUGCUAGAUAUUAUAAAAUAACCUCUGUGACUGUGCCUUACUUAAAAAUACUUAAUGGAGAAUUACAUUUAAAAAAGCAGCAUCCAUAUUAUGCCCAAAUCCAAGGCCAACUUUAUUGUUCGGGGACGCAAUAUUGCAAUUUUAUUGUUUACACAUUUGAGGAUAUGAAAAUAAUAUUCAUUAAUAGAGAUGACUCAUUUAUUAAUGGCAUGUUGACAAAUUUGUUAAACUUUUAUGUACAUAAUUUAGAACCAGAAAUGUAAAUAAGUAUGUGUAUAAGAACUAUUUACAAUUAAUAAAUAAAUUGAAAUAA
This 909-nucleotide long non-coding RNA is filed under the name Manduca sexta (tobacco hornworm). RNAcentral's name for it is "uncharacterized LOC119188641". Lineage: Eukaryota; Metazoa; Arthropoda; Insecta; Lepidoptera; Sphingidae. The record is from RNAcentral.